GCCUGGGUGGCUCAGUCAGUUAAGUGUCUGAUUUCAGCUCAGGUCAUGAGUUCACGGUUCGUGAGUUCGAGCCCCACCUCGGGCU
This 85-nucleotide transfer RNA is filed under the name Felis catus (domestic cat). It matches the Rfam family "tRNA". From Rfam's summary of the family: Transfer RNA (tRNA) molecules are approximately 80 nucleotides in length. The record is from Rfam by way of RNAcentral. Lineage: Eukaryota; Metazoa; Chordata; Mammalia; Carnivora; Felidae.